GAAGAUGCUCAGUAUCACUCAUCAGGGAAAUGCAAAUCAAAAAUGAGAUACCAUCUCAUACCUGUCAACAACACAAAAGACACCAGGUGUUGGUGAGUAUGUGGAGAAAAAGGAACCCUCCUGCACUGUUGGAGGGAAUGAAAACAAGUGCAGCUACUGUGGAAAAUAGUAUGAAAAUUCCUCGAAAUUUUAAAUAUAGAACAACCCUAUGAUCCAGCAACUAGUGUUUGAGUGUUUACCAAAACAAAAACCCUAAUUCAGAGGGAUACAUGCACUCCCUAUGUUUAUAGGGCCAUAAUUUACAAUAGCCAAAUUAUGAAGGUUACUCAAGUGUCCUUCGAUUAGAUAAAUGGAUAAAGAAGGAGUGAUACAUAUAUUCAAUGGAAUAUUACUCAGCCUUAAAAAGAGAAUGAAAUCUUGCCACUUGCAAUGACAUGGAUGAUGCUAUAGAAUAUAAUGCUAAGUGAAAUAUACCAGUCAGAGAAAGACAAAUACCAUAUGAUUUUACUCAUAUGUCGAAUUUAAGAAACAAAACAAAUGAACAAAGGAAAAAAAAGAAAGAGGCAAACCAAGAAACAGACUCUUAAAUAUAGAGAACAAACCAGAAGGAGGUGGGAGGAGAGGGGGAGGAAAUAGACGAUGGUGAUUAAGAAGUAUACUUGUUAUGAUGUGCACAGGGUGAUAUAUGGAAUUGGUGGAUUAUUUUAUAGUACACCUGAAACUAAUAUAACACUGUACGUUAACUACACUGGAAUUAAAAUUUUUUAAAUUUUAGAUAUGAAAUUAAAUAUGCAAAACAUACCUAUUUUAACAGUAUUUGUGGGCAGCGCUGGUAGCCCAGUGGUUUAGCACUGCCUUCAGCCCAGGGUGCGAUCCUGGAGACCUGGGAUCGAGUCCCGCAUCAGGCUCCCUUCAUGGAGCAUGUUUCUCCCUCUGCCCGUGUCUCUGCCUCUCUCUCCCUCUGUGUGUCUCUCAUGAAUAAAUAAAUAAAAUCUUAAAAAAAAAAACAGUAUUUGUAUUAGUAGAUUGGCCUCAAAAUCUCACAUAAACACUCAAGUUUUUUAAAAAUUUUAAAGAGAAAACCUGUCUAAAGCAAAAAUUAAGGAAAUAAACCUAACUCUGUACAGUUAGUGGUAUAACCACUAUGAGAAAAACUAUCAUGAGUGUAAAGCACUGUAUUUGAUUGUACAUCUUAAAAAAAAAAAAAUACCUGUAAAGAAGUGUUGAAUUAAAUUCAGUAGGUUUGUGUUGGUACAAAUCUAGAUUUGAAUGUGUUUCCUUCCCCAGAUUAGGGAAAUUCUCAGUUAUAAUUUGUUCAAAUAAACCUUCUGAUCCUUUCUCCUGCUCCUCAUCUUCUGUGACCCCUAUUAUCCACAUAUUAUUUUCCUUUAUGGAAUCGCUGAGUUCUGUGUUUCCCUUUGUGAUUCAGUAGUUUUCUUUUUCCCUUCUUUUCAGCUUCCUUAUUUUCUAUCCUUUUAUCUUCCAUAUAAUUUCUUCUGCUUCAUUCAUCCUUGUUUUUAUAGCCUCCACUUAGGACUGCAUCUUUGAUAAUAGCAUUUUUAAUUUUGCCCUAACUAGAUUUUAGUUCUCUUAGGUCUCCAGUAAGGGAUUCUCUAGCGUCUUUUAUGCUUUUUUCAAGCCCAGCUAAGUAUCUUCACAAUCAUUGUUUUAAAUUCUAGUUCAGAAUCUUACUUCUAUCCAUAUUGAUUAAAUCCCUGGCAGUGAGUACUACAUCCUGUUCUUUCUUUUGGUGUGAAUUUCUCUGUCUCAGCAUUUCUGCCUAUAAAAGAAAAGAAGAAAGAAAGAGAAAUAACUCCAAUAACAUCAAUGAUAAUAGAGAAAAACAAAACAAGCAAAACCAAACCAAACCAAACAAACGAAAAAACCCAAACAAAACAAAAACCUAGAUCCUGAGUGUAUUUCGGUCUGCUUCUUAAAAGAAACUAGAUGCCAAAAUAAGAAGGAAAGAAAAACAUAUAUGUAAAUAAAAUGAAAUACAGUACAAUGAAAGGAAACAAAAAAUAACACAUAUAUUAUGUAUAUAUAUAUUUUUUAAAGAUUUUAUUUAUUUAUUCAUGAGAUACACAGAGAGAGGGAGAGAGAGGCAGAGACACAGGCAGAGGGAGAAGCAGGCUCCAUGCAGGGAGCCUAACGUGGGACUCGAUCCAGGGUCUCCAGGAUCAGGCCCUGGGCGGAAGGCAGAUGCUAAACCGCUGAGCCACCCAGGGAUCCCUAUAAUGUAUAUUUUAAAAUAAAAAUUAGAAAAGAAUUUUAAAAGUCAAAAAAAUGAAAAUAACAAAAA
RNAcentral lists this long non-coding RNA (2302 nucleotides) under Canis lupus familiaris (dog). Its description in RNAcentral is "lncRNA (ENSCAFG00000050561.1, ENSCAFG00845011796.1)". Lineage: Eukaryota; Metazoa; Chordata; Mammalia; Carnivora; Canidae. The record is from RNAcentral.